GACCAAUGUCCUCAUUUUUGCAGGUGACGAAAUGGAGAAUCAAAGAAGUAAAGGAGCUGCCUCAGAGUCACACUACUAGGAAAUCCUGAGGGGUUUGACAUUUUUCAUCCUCCAGCCAUUAAUCGUCCUGUAGGGAAAGGCUAUACAUUGGUAGGAGUAAAAAGCAAGCAGUUCCUGGCCAGUGAUACUCCAGUUAAAGAUGUCUGACUGACAAGCAUGUUGGCACCAGCAUUGAAGGAAGUGAUGGGCUUUGGCUCCAGGUUCCUGUCCUGAGACCACAGCAGGAUGUGCCUUGGACAAAGGCUUGGACUCCUGGAUCAUCUGGUGACUUCAAAUAUCUGGUCUCAGGGUGGUGAACCUCUUCUCUGAAUUCCUAACCUGUGAGCUUAUGAUGAUGGUGCCUGUCAAUUAACUGAACAACACUGGAGCUCCACAGAGAACAUCUGUCUCUAGGACUAUAAAUUUGGUACUUUUUACCAGCUCUAAAUUUUCUCUAUUGCUUAAGAGUAUUAGAGAUCACAGCUUACUCCCAUCAUUUAGGGACUAACAAUGUGGAAAAUUGAGUGAACUCAAUAUGAUCACCACUCAAGAGUUCUCCCUGUGAACCAAAGUCUUCUUUAAAUUUUGAAAUAACUUCCAAACAAGAAGGCAGAAAGGAAAAGUGUG
Molecule: long non-coding RNA, 666 nt
Organism: Herpailurus yagouaroundi (jaguarundi)
Lineage: Eukaryota; Metazoa; Chordata; Mammalia; Carnivora; Felidae
Exons: 8
Source: RefSeq, a predicted model, not a curated record